GGUUAAGCGAAUAAGCGUACACGGUGGAUGCCUAGGCAAUCAGAGGCGAUGAAGGACGUGCUAAUCUGCGAAAAGCGUCGGUAAGGUGAUAUGAACCGUUAUACCCGACGAUAUCCGAAUGGGGAAACCCAGUAUCCAAUGGAUACUAUCAUUAACUGAAUCCAUAGGUUAAUGAGGCGAACCGGGAGAACUGAAACAUCUCAGUACCCCGAGGAAAAGAAAUCAACCGAGAUUCCCCUAGUAGCGGCGAGCGAACGGGGAGAAGCCCAGAGUCUUAAUCAAUAACAGUGUCAGGAGAACGGUCUGGAAAGUCCGGCAGUAAAGGGUGAUAGCCCCGUAUCUGAAGAUGCUGUUAUUGUGAACUCGACGAGUAGGGCGGGACACGUGUUAUCCUGUCUGAAUAUGGGGGGACCAUCCUCCAAGGCUAAAUACUCCUGAUUGACCGAUAGUGAACCAGUACCGUGAGGGAAAGGCGAAAAGAACCCCGGCGAGGGGAGUGAAAAAGAACCUGAAACCGUGUACGUACAAGCAGUAGGAGCCUCUUUAUGGGGUGACUGCGUACCUUUUGUAUAAUGGGUCAGCGACUUAUAUUCUGUAGCAAGGUUAACCGCAUAGGGGAGCCGUAGGGAAACCGAGUCUUAACUGGGCGAAUGAGUUGCAGGGUAUAGACCCGAAACCCGGUGAUCUAUCCAUGGGCAGGUUGAAGGUUGGGUAACACUAACUGGAGGACCGAACCGACUAAUGUUGAAAAAUUAGCGGAUGACUUGUGGAUGGGGGUGAAAGGCCAAUCAAACCGGGAGAUAGCUGGUUCUCCCCGAAAGCUAUUUAGGUAGCGCCUCGUGAACUCAUCUUCGGGGGUAGAGCACUGUUUCGACUAGGGGGUCAUCCCGACUUACCAACUCGAUGCAAACUGCGAAUACCGAAGAAUGUUAUCACGGGAGACACACGGCGGGUGCUAACGUCCGUCGUGAAGAGGGAAACAACCCAGACCGCCAGCUAAGGUCCCAAAGUCAUGGUUAAGUGGGAAACGAAGUGGGAAGGCUCAGACAGCCAGGAUGUUGGCUUAGAAGCAGCCAUCAUUUAAAGAAAGCGUAAUAGCUCACUGGUCGAGUCGGCCCGCGCGGAAGAUGUAACGGGGCUAAACCAUGCACCGAAGCUGCGGCAGCGACACGUAGUGUUGUUGGGUAGGGGAGCGUUCUGUAAGCCUGCGAAGGUGUACUGUGAGGUAUGCUGGAGGUAUCAGAAGUGCGAAUGCUGACAUAAGUAACGAUAAUGCGGGUGAAAAACCCGCACGCCGGAAGACCAAGGGUUCCUGUCCAACGUUAAUCGGGGCAGGGUGAGUCGACCCCUAAGGCGAGGCUGAAAAGCGUAGUCGAUGGGAAACGGGUUAAUAUUCCCGUACUGGUGGUAACUGCGAUGGGGGAACGGAGAAGGCUAGGUUGUCCGGGCGACGGUCGUCCCGGUUCAAGCAGGUAGGCAGAGUGAUUAGGCAAAUCCGGUCACUUAAUGCUGAGAUGUGAUGACGAACCACUAAGGUGGUGAAGCAAUUGAUGCCCCGCUUCCAGGAAAAGCCUCUAAGCUUCAGGUUACCAACAAUCGUACCCCAAACCGACACAGGUGGUCAGGUAGAGAAUACUCAGGCGCUUGAGAGAACUCGGGUGAAGGAACUAGGCAAAAUGGUGCCGUAACUUCGGGAGAAGGCACGCUGGCGGUAGGUAAAGUCCCUCGCGGACAGAGCUGAAGCCAGUCGAAGAUACCAGCUGGCUGCAACUGUUUAUUAAAAACACAGCACUGUGCAAACACGAAAGUGGACGUAUACGGUGUGACGCCUGCCCGGUGCUGGAAGGUUAAUUGAUGGGGUCAGCCGUAAGGCGAAGCUCCUGAUCGAAGCCCCAGUAAACGGCGGCCGUAACUAUAACGGUCCUAAGGUAGCGAAAUUCCUUGUCGGGUAAGUUCCGACCUGCACGAAUGGCGUAAUGAUGGCCAGGCUGUCUCCACCCGAGACUCAGUGAAAUUGAACUCGCUGUGAAGAUGCAGUGUACCCGCGGCAAGACGGAAAGACCCCGUGAACCUUUACUAUAGCUUGACACUGAACAUUGAGCCUUGAUGUGUAGGAUAGGUGGGAGGCUUUGAAGUGUGGACGCCAGUCUGCAUGGAGCCAACCUUGAAAUACCACCCUUUAACGUUUGAUGUUCUAACCUAGGCCCAUAAACUGGGUCGGGGACCGUGUCUGGUGGGUAGUUUGACUGGGGCGGUCUCCUCCUAAAGAGUAACGGAGGAGCACGAAGGUUGGCUAAGCAUGGUCGGACAUCAUGCGGUUAGUGCAAAGGCAUAAGCCAGCUUGACUGCGAGAGUGACGGCUCGAGCAGGUACGAAAGUAGGUCUUAGUGAUCCGGUGGUUCUGAAUGGAAGGGCCAUCGCUCAACGGAUAAAAGGUACUCCGGGGAUAACAGGCUGAUACCGCCCAAGAGUUCAUAUCGACGGCGGUGUUUGGCACCUCGAUGUCGGCUCAUCACAUCCUGGGGCUGAAGUAGGUCCCAAGGGUAUGGCUGUUCGCCAUUUAAAGUGGUACGCGAGCUGGGUUUAGAACGUCGUGAGACAGUUCGGUCCCUAUCUGCCGUGGGCGUUGGAAGAUUGAGAGGGGUUGCUCCUAGUACGAGAGGACCGGAGUGAACGCACCACUGGUGUUCGGGUUGUCAUGCCAAUGGCAUUGCCCGGUAGCUAAGUGCGGAAGAGAUAACCGCUGAAAGCAUCUAAGCGGGAAACUUGCCUCGAGAUGAGUCUUCCCUGUCGCUUUAAGCGACCUAAAGGAACGUUUAAGACUAAGACGUUGAUAGGCUGGGUGUGUAAGCGUAGCGAUACGUUGAGCUAACCAGUACUAAUGAACCGUGAGGCUUAACCUG
RNAcentral lists this ribosomal RNA (2903 nucleotides) under Proteus mirabilis. RNAcentral's name for it is "23S ribosomal RNA". It matches the Rfam family "Bacterial large subunit ribosomal RNA". Lineage: Bacteria; Pseudomonadati; Pseudomonadota; Gammaproteobacteria; Enterobacterales; Morganellaceae. The record is from RNAcentral.